CUUCAAUUCUUCACAUAUUCUAGAGAUUAAUCCUCUGUCUGUCAGAAGAGGAGCAGCCAAGAUUUAUCUCCCAUUCUGUGGGUUAUCUCUUCACUCUCUUUCCUUGGCUUGCAGAAACUUUUCAUUUAGUUUGGUUCCAUUUUUUGAUCCUUGCCAUCAUUUAUUAUUAUUAUUAUUUCCUAUACUAUUGUUACUGCUAUUAUUUCCUAGACUACUGGGUAGACUGAGUUCUGAACCUACCCUGCAGUUUGGAUAAUGUGGUCAUCGGGGCCAGAGUCAGAGGCAGGCUCACAUUUGGCCUACAGGAUUGGCAUCCAUUUCCUGAGCUGGCAUCCACCCCUAGUGAUUGGAGUUGCCUAACUGGAUGAGCCCAUGCUCUGCAAGUUGUCAGAGAGAAGAGUCUUGGAGAGCCCACUUCAGCCACUCCACAAUCAGCCAAAGCACUGUAUGCUGCCCUUCAGCCCAUAAUGCUGGUCAGAGCCAGUCCUAUGGCCCUAUUGAGGCCAGGAAGCCUAGACUCAUCAUGUGCCUGGAAGAUGGACAGCCACAGGUGUUCAGAGAGUCCUCAAAGGCCAUCGCCCAGCUAACUGAUCUAAAUAGCCUGUUGAGUGCCGG
Molecule: long non-coding RNA, 615 nt
Filed under: Fukomys damarensis (Damara mole-rat)
Lineage: Eukaryota; Metazoa; Chordata; Mammalia; Rodentia; Bathyergidae
Description: lncRNA (ENSFDAG00000033059.1)
Source: RNAcentral